Molecule: unclassified non-coding RNA, 488 nt
Filed under: Hevea brasiliensis (rubber tree)
Lineage: Eukaryota; Viridiplantae; Streptophyta; Magnoliopsida; Malpighiales; Euphorbiaceae
Source: RNAcentral
GUGGGUAUUUGACGAAGGUUUUCUUGAUCUGCAUCUGAAACUUUGUAUCUGGUAGUUCUGUUUAGAUUCUUGCAUACGUUUGGUUAUUGAAGUUGCCUUUUCGUCUGGGUGGCUGCAUGCAGGGGAGGCUUCUUGAAGAUGGCUUACCUUUCUGCUGUUUGAAGCUUUGGUUCAGAUGGGUCCUCUUUUAGCUGCGUGUGCAUCUCUUGGGGAUGCUCCCGGUACGAUCCUCUUGAUACCCAGUCUCUCAAUGACUACUAGAGCUAAAGAGCUCUGCCUCGCGCCUGUCUGCUUCCUCUCUCCUGUUCAUUUCAAGGUGCUGUAUGUUUAGUCUCCUUAUCGUGAUCUAAGUGUGCUGGUAGGUUGGCUUGUUCCAGGGCUGCUUUCUUUGGGGUUUCGUGUGUAGGCUUUUCGCCGUUUGGUAAACAACCAUAUCUGCUUCAUCAGGUUCAUCUGCUUCCCAGAAAACGCGGUCAGGCUUGUUUGUU